CAAUAAUACCCCUCAUGCCUAAAGGGCUUUAAACACUGUCUAGACUCCCCCAGCACAUCUGAUUGACAUGUGCUGAAUUUUCACGUUGUACAAAAAUAUUGCCUGAUGGAUUAGAUUAUGGCCAUGAGUGACCUGCAAGCUGGCAGCCAGCACCCCUCAAACAAUCUCCUGUUUCUUACCCACAUCAGGGAGACUGCAGAUAAUACGGCGGAAAGAGAUCAGUAGAAGCAGUUCACUCUUCAAAGUCUCAAGGACCUUACCAUGGCAAACUACACUAACUCUUCUGGACACCCACAGGAUCUGCAGGACUUGCCAUCAGACAGGCUGCUCCCCAGGCUCUCCUGGUGUUUGCAUGGACCCAGCAGUGCAGACACAGGCUCCCCAGCCACCUCCCCCUGAGCAUUUAGCCCAGACUGAGAGAAGCCAGAUCUAUAUCUAGGAAUAUGGAAAUGCAGAAGAAUGUCGUUCAUCAGCUCAGAUACUAAUGAGAACAUGAGCAGGCAAAAAGCUCUCUUCCAAACAGGCUGGUGCCAAAACGCUCCAUUCAGACACUCAGUGUGAUGCCAAGAGCACAUAACUGCCUAGCUGAGCAUCUGAGUGACAGCACAUCUGCGCUUGCAGGCUGAAAGUCAACAAAAAAGUUAAAUAGUACAAAGUGAUCAGUGUUGCAUGAAGUAUACACUGACAUGAAGUAUAUACACCUCUUGCUUUCAGCUGCAUGGCCCCCAAAUUCUGACCAUGCUGCUACUGCAGUCUUGCUCAGCGCUUUGGGCUCAGCUUCUCACACACACACAGCAACUUCAAGCAGAUUUUCAUACCUCUCCUUUCUCCCAGAUUACUGAAAAGUGGGGUUAUUGGUGUGUCCUGUGAUAUAUGAGCUAUCCAGAGGUAUGAAGCUAUGAAAGGAAAGAGCCUUUGGGAGACUGGAAAUGCGCAGAUAAACCAUGCACAGAGAAUAUGCAAGGGAGAGCAUGAGAAAAGUGGGGGACUGUUAGUACACAGAAAGUGGCAUCAUAG
Molecule: long non-coding RNA, 1017 nt
Filed under: Cyanistes caeruleus (blue tit)
Lineage: Eukaryota; Metazoa; Chordata; Aves; Passeriformes; Paridae
Description: lncRNA (ENSCCEG00000003341.1)
Source: RNAcentral